RNAcentral lists this transfer RNA (64 nucleotides) under Nanostrea pinnicola. RNAcentral's name for it is "tRNA-Thr". Lineage: Eukaryota; Metazoa; Mollusca; Bivalvia; Ostreida; Ostreidae. The record is from RNAcentral.
UCAGUUUUAGUAUAAAUUAAUUACAAAGGUCUUGUAAACCUUAAAUCUAGCAUUAGAGGCUGAU